CCUGGCCAUGGUGGGCCGGAAUUGCCAGCCCAGAGGCUCAAAAUGUCCACAUCCACUUCGGCUGCCCUGUCACCUGCUGCGUUCCGUGGUAAUCUUGGUCUGCUAUACAUCCAAGCAGGAAAACUUGGAGUAGAAGAUGACACUGGUGAUGAAAUGACACGUGUGAACGGUUGCAGGGCUUUGCAAGCAGAAGGCUGCACAAAUUCAGGGUAUCACCUGUUUGGUUUAUACUCCUGAAUUAACUUUCUGCCUUCCCAGUCCACAGGUCUAAUAAAAGGUUUCACUUGGGCUAG
Suricata suricatta (meerkat) is the source of this 293-nucleotide long non-coding RNA. The record is from Ensembl. Lineage: Eukaryota; Metazoa; Chordata; Mammalia; Carnivora; Herpestidae.